This 717-nucleotide ribosomal RNA is filed under the name Bacillus sp. KF-20. RNAcentral describes it as "bacterial SSU rRNA". It matches the Rfam family "Bacterial small subunit ribosomal RNA", at positions 56 to 758 of the family's 1533-position model. Lineage: Bacteria; Bacillati; Bacillota; Bacilli; Caryophanales; Bacillaceae. The record is from RNAcentral.
UGCAGUCGAGCGGACUUAAAAAGCUUGCUUUUUAAGUUAGCGGCGGACGGGUGAGUAACACGUGGGCAACCUGCCUGUAAGACUGGGAUAACUUCGGGAAACCGGAGCUAAUACCGGAUAAUCCUUUUCUACUCAUGUAGAAAAGCUGAAAGACGGUUUACGCUGUCACUUACAGAUGGGCCCGCGGCGCAUUAGCUAGUUGGUGAGGUAACGGCUCACCAAGGCGACGAUGCGUAGCCGACCUGAGAGGGUGAUCGGCCACACUGGGACUGAGACACGGCCCAGACUCCUACGGGAGGCAGCAGUAGGGAAUCUUCCGCAAUGGACGAAAGUCUGACGGAGCAACGCCGCGUGAGUGAUGAAGGUUUUCGGAUCGUAAAACUCUGUUGUUAGGGAAGAACAAGUACGAGAGUAACUGCUCGUACCUUGACGGUACCUAACCAGAAAGCCACGGCUAACUACGUGCCAGCAGCCGCGGUAAUACGUAGGUGGCAAGCGUUGUCCGGAAUUAUUGGGCGUAAAGCGCGCGCAGGCGGUCCUUUAAGUCUGAUGUGAAAGCCCACGGCUCAACCGUGGAGGGUCAUUGGAAACUGGGGGACUUGAGUGCAGAAGAGAAGAGUGGAAUUCCACGUGUAGCGGUGAAAUGCGUAGAGAUGUGGAGGAACACCAGUGGGCGAAGGCGACUCUUUGGUCUGUAACUGACGCUGAGGCGCGAAA